AGCAGGCUAAGGAGGGCAGGGGGGUAAUCUCUUACUGGGUACAGUUGUAACUGAGAGAGGAAGUUAAAUCAGACCUUGGACAGUAGGUGUCAAGGAAAAAACCAGGGCUCAUAAUUCAUCAACAUGGACAUACAUCAAGCAGGAGUCCUGCCCGCCUUCACGCACAGCUUUCCCGCAGAAUAUGGAAGGAGGGCAGGAAUCAGCGAACAAUGAAUGCGCUCCACAAGCUACACACCUGCUGUAUUAAAAGCAUUGUAUGGCAAAUGUGGUCCCACAACCUGGAACAUAAAUUUCACUGGGCAGAGAGGCACAUCUUGGAGUACUGCCGCAGCUAUAUCGUUUCUCCAGGCGUAGCACUUAGAGAAUAAGAAGGAGCUGUCAGGAAUAAUCUGGAAGAGGAGAAGAGUCUUAUUGGAAAGUGCCUACUUACCUUCGGUAAUCUAAUAAUCUAUAGUAGUAGGGUCAAGUAAUUUUUUAUGAUACAGCCUUUAAUCAUCUAUCAAUUACUACGUUUAAUUACAGCUGAGCUGCUGAGAUGUAUAGAGAUCUUCCAGGGGACAAAAUGAACAGCUAUAGCUCUGCACUAUUGCCAAAGAUGCAGCAAUUCCCCUUCUCCACCACCACCUCCCAAUGAAUGAACUGGCUGUAAAAAAAAAAAAAGGUGCUGAGCCCUUUACACAUAAAGCCAAAGAUCUGGUUACGUCAUGACACAUAUCCAUGACAAACUGAAUGAAGAUUACAAGAGACGUUUUUGUGGCUUUUUCUAAUUUACAGCUACUUUGCCCUUCAAUGGUUCUAACUAGCUAGCUACACUAACAGCUGUAGAUAUAUACUUUCUAGGUAAUUGUGAACAUCUAUAUGGGCCAGGACUUUUUUUGAUACCACUGUUGGAGCCUCUGCCCCAGGGAGAAGGGAACACCUUGCCCGGGAGCCAUGAAGGUCUGCUCAGGGCAGGGUGAUCCCAGUGCUGAGCAUUACCUCCCUCAGCAGCACAGUCCAGGUUGUCACGUGCCUAUUGAUCACUUGAACUCUUUUGGGUAGGUCAAUAAAAGUACACAACGUCAAUACCCCCAAGGUAAAAAUUUCAUAAGCCACCAGCCACCCCGAGAAGCUGCAGUUCUCCCUUGACUUCAUACAACAAAUUUUGCUGCGUUCCCUGAAGGCCGCUGUGUCUUGCUGCAACUUGGUGCCUCUAUUUUAAUGCGGGUGGCCUAGCUUCAGAAGGCUUGUCCACUAAUAGCACAGCGAUAGCUUUUCUGAUUCUGCAGGCUAGUACUGCAAGAGUCCAGCUGUUUAUAAAAAGCAAGUAAAUCGAAAUCCAGUGUACUUCACACCAAAUGAAAACUCCUUUUUUUUUUUUUUACCCCUUUCUCUGUGUGUAGGACUCUUCAGUCUAAAACAAAGAUGCAAAGAUGCAUAGAAUGACCUUGCAAAUAAGAUCAGUGUAAUUCAGAGAAUGAAAUUAAUCUGUCAAGCCCUGGCUUGCUUUGUCACUUACCAUCACUGUAGUUUCUUUUCAUCUUCAAUUUUUGCUUCCCUUCAUUAUUUGCUAUGAAGAGUCUUAUUUAGAGGAAGAAACAGAAAGAGGAUUUUAUGCAUCCAUUAUUUAAUGAUGGACUUUUAUCCCGGGGGAAAAUGGGCCAGAAGGAUUCUGAUGGCAGAGUGAAGUGAAUUAAAGAUCAAAAAAUUUCCUACAUUUGGCUGAGAGUUUAUGACUUAAUUUGCAUAACCCUAGUUUUAAUGUCAGUGACUUCUUUCCUGCUCCAUUGUUGGUUUGGUUUUCUUGUUUUCAAAUUUAAUUGCCUGUGUUUUAAUUUUCACAAUUCUGGAGCCAGCAUCCCUGUGAGAUCUAAUUUGAGGACUGUAUUUCCUCUUUGGAAGAUAAAAGACUAUUUCACAAAGAGAAGGAAAAAUCAAGAACAAUGGCAUCUUUGAAAUAACAUACAUUAUUUCUUUUCAGAACAGCAUUUCUCUUCUAGGGCUUCUUGGGAGGGAGUGUUGUCUUGAUAGGAGAUUUGCCUGAAUGCAAUUUUCAGACUCUCACCAAGCAGCACAAAAGGCCAGAAGAGGCACCACAGCAUUGCUCCAACUUGCCUAAGUGGACCUGGGGCACAAGGGGCAGAGGGAGUUUGAGCCUGCUGCACCUCCUCACUGGCUGAUGUUUCAUGGAAAGAGCGGGCUAGCCUGCACAUAGGUCUAUUGUAGCAGCAACUAAAUUAUACCUGCUCAGAGAUGUCUUGAUGUAUUGUAUAUACAGAACUUUAUUUUCCAGACAGAAAUAAUUUUAGGCAUUAAGAGUCAGGUGCCAAAAGUUUUCUAACCUGCUUUUGGCAGUGUACCCUGUGUGCUCUGUGUUGCUGUGUCAAUGCAAAAGAGCCGUACAGCCUGCACCGGCACGGCCCCCCCCAAAAGUUGCAUCAUCGACAAAGCUGCUGAGCACUACGUGAAUGUGGGCCUGGGGGAUGCAGGAUUAUUGCCAGGUGAGGGAGCUGCUUUAAUUCUCGUCAGAAGCUACACGGGCAUCAGCUGCUGGUGAGCAGCAAGGUUUGGGGUGAACCGCAGGGCUGGUGUACUUGUUGCCAAGCCUUUGCCUCCUCACUGCGGGAUGGCAAGUGGGGUGAACAAGCUGGGGGGCUGAGCUGAAGGAUGGACAUCCUCUUGCUUUCACCAAGGGACAAGACAACAGUAUUUAUAUCAGAUUUUACAUCACUUCCAAGAUGUGUCUCAACAAUGCGCUUCCUAUCUUCCUCCUUAUUUCUCCCCAUUUUUACUAAUAAAAUUGUGCCAUACUUCCCUCC
Molecule: long non-coding RNA, 2798 nt
Organism: Aquila chrysaetos chrysaetos
Lineage: Eukaryota; Metazoa; Chordata; Aves; Accipitriformes; Accipitridae
Exons: 3
Source: RefSeq, a predicted model, not a curated record